UACGGAGGAUGCGAGUGUUAUCCGGAUUUAUUGGGUUUAAAGGGUGCGUAGGCGGACUGUCAAGUCAGCGGUAAAAUUGAGAGGCUCAACCUCUUCCCGCCGUUGAAACUGGUGGUCUUGAGUGGAUGAGAAGUACGCGGAAUGCGUGGUGUAGCGGUGAAAUGCAUAGAUAUCACGCAGAACUCCGAUUGCGAAGGCAGCGUACCGGCAUCCAACUGACGCUGAGGCACGAAAGCGUGGGGAUCAAACAGG
Molecule: ribosomal RNA, 252 nt
Filed under: uncultured bacterium
Lineage: Bacteria
Description: partial 16S ribosomal RNA
Rfam family: Bacterial small subunit ribosomal RNA
Source: RNAcentral